CCAAUUCCUACGCUGGCAAGCACAGUGCAUGUGUCUGUAUCAACCCUUUCCCAGCUCUAAUUCAAACCAUUUCACCAAGACAGACACCAGAAAACUGUUGGAACAGGAACAAAUAGAAGUCAUGGUGAUUUAAAGAUACACGAUCUAGAAAAUUACAUCACAAAACUUAUUUAGCAUUGAGGCUUUGUCUGGGAGGAAAUGCUGCCAACGCCUGCUACAGCGUCAGAAGCAACCUGAGAGAACGAGCCCUCCGGAGAUGGCGAGAUGCGGACUGCUGGUUCCCCUCGCUGACCGAGUCAGCUCAUCACCCAGACACGAUGUGGUUUGUGCCAGUUCCUCCCUCCCAGGAGACAUCCCGCAUCACACAACAUUUCACUCAGCUGUGUGGCUGAGCGCUGACAAACUCAAUUUGUGGAAGGUGAGCGCAAGUUGACACCAUGCUGUGGCAGUUGUCCUGAUGGGAGCCAAGGACUCAUUUCAUUCCAAGGUGGAACCCACCUUCUCCGGAAACAAGCUUGUGCACACGAGUGUAGCGGACAAGGACGGAAGACUGACACAAAGUCGAAGAACUUCUGGAGUUGGAGAGAGCAGGGAGGGAUGGGAGGAGAAGCGGACAAAGAGAAUUAAGAUAUGUUGUGUAUGUGUACAAACUUCCCCACAAUAAAUAUAAUCCUCAUGUAUGGC
Molecule: long non-coding RNA, 684 nt
Organism: Heterocephalus glaber (naked mole-rat)
Lineage: Eukaryota; Metazoa; Chordata; Mammalia; Rodentia; Bathyergidae
Source: Ensembl